Molecule: unclassified non-coding RNA, 245 nt
Filed under: Hevea brasiliensis (rubber tree)
Lineage: Eukaryota; Viridiplantae; Streptophyta; Magnoliopsida; Malpighiales; Euphorbiaceae
Source: RNAcentral
AAAAAAAAAAAAAAUUUAUAUAUUCAUAUUGCUUUCUUUCAUUUUCUUCGCAAGAAAGCAUAUAUUGUUGGUAAAUAUUUUCUUUUCUUGUCAAUCUAAUUAAUUUAAUUGUGUGGACGAUCUGGCUUUAGCUUAGAUUGGUGGGAUAAACUUGACACAGCAAAAACUGACAUACAAUUUCAUUAAAUCUUUUUUUUUUAAUAAUAAAAAAAUCUUGGUGAAAUCUUUGAUAAAACUAGUCUUUA